GUAGGUGGCAAGCAUUGUCCGGAAUUAUUGGGCGUAAAGCGCGCGCAGGUGGUUCUUUAAGUCUGAUGUGAAAGACCCCCGGGCUCAACCGGGGAGGGUCAUUGGAAACUGGGGAACUUGAGUGCAGGAGAGGAAAGUGGAAUUCCACGUGUAGCGGUGAAAUGCGUAGAUAUGUGGAGGAACACCAGUGGCGAAGGCGACUUUCUGGCCUGUAACUGACACUGAGGCGCGAAAGCGUGGGGAGCAAACAGGAUUAGAUACCCUGGUAGUCCACGCCGUAAACGAUGAGUGCUAAGUGUUGGGGGGUUUCCGCCCCUCAGUGCUGCAGCUAACGCAUUAAGCACUCCGCCUGGGGAGUACGGUCGCAAAGACUG
RNAcentral lists this ribosomal RNA (374 nucleotides) under uncultured organism. RNAcentral's name for it is "partial 16S ribosomal RNA". It matches the Rfam family "Bacterial small subunit ribosomal RNA", at positions 527 to 896 of the family's 1533-position model. The record is from RNAcentral.